AUACUUAACUGACGGGGAGAUACCAUAAUGACAAAGGUGGUUUCCUUAGGGUUAGUCUCUUAAUAUGAAUGUGAUGAUCCCUGCAAUUUUCCCAAAUGUGAGAUAUUAGACUACAUAAUUUGUGGUAGUGAAGGACUUUUUUCACACUCUCCCUUU
This is a small nuclear RNA of Suncus etruscus (white-toothed pygmy shrew), 156 nucleotides long. RefSeq annotates it as U1 spliceosomal RNA. The record is from RefSeq and is a predicted model, not a curated record. NCBI's taxonomy places the organism in Eukaryota, Metazoa, Chordata, Mammalia, Eulipotyphla, Soricidae. The transcript has a single exon.